RNAcentral lists this long non-coding RNA (763 nucleotides) under Cricetulus griseus (Chinese hamster). Its description in RNAcentral is "lncRNA (ENSCGRG00015034830.1)". The record is from RNAcentral. Lineage: Eukaryota; Metazoa; Chordata; Mammalia; Rodentia; Cricetidae.
AAAAACCAAACCAUUUUCAGGAUCCUCUCGGUCACCAUGGGUUAUUCUGGAGACUGGAUGGUCAGUGAAGGCUGGAGCCACAGGUGUCGUCUGAGCUGCCAUGAGGUUGAGGAGAGAGAUGGAAAUUAGUCAAGGGUCCAAACAGGAAGCCUAGCCCUGCCAGGAAGUCAAGGCGUCACUCUAGGUACUGAAUCGAUAAGGGAUUGUUAAACAGGAAAGUGACCUGGGAGACUUGCAUGUAGAGGGCUCUGGUGCCUGGGCAAUUGGGGAGAGAGGUGCUGCGCAGAAGACUGUCCGUCACAGAGCCCCUGCCUUUCUCCGGAGAAGAGAGGACACUUGUGUUGCUUUGACGGUCGUCUUGCUGGGCGUGCAACUGUAUUGGACAUUCCAGGGACAAGGGAAGCCCGUGAGAACUGCAGGCAGGUGCAUAACUGGUGUUUGACAAUAAUCAGAAUGUCAUCCGAAGCUGAGAAAUUCGGCAUUUCUCAGCCGGCUUCUUUAGUCCCGGGCUCCAGCAGAGAAUGGCCGCUAGAGGGCGCUCCUUCCUCUCUCUUCCAUCACUCGUUUGCUUUCGACAUUUUACACCAGUAUCCAGCAGGAGGUUUUCCAGAGUUUUGAACCCGUAUGCCAGCACCUACGAAAAUGCUCAUUGAUUCACUUCAAGUCAUUUAUUCCAUUAAAAUUACCCCUCUAAUGCCAGUUUUUAAAUUUUUAAAAAUUUUAUUUUUACGUGUAUGAGUGUUUUGCCUGCUUAUGUCUGUGC